GACGAACCGUACGAACGUUAUUCGGAAUCACUGGGCUUAAAGGGUGCGUAGGCGGCGCGACAAGUUGGGUGUGAAAUCCCUCGGCUCAACCGAGGGACUGCGCCCAAAACUGUCGUGCUCGAGGGAGACAGAGGUGAGCGGAACUUAGGGUGGAGCGGUGAAAUGCGUUGAUAUCCUAAGGAACACCGGUGGCGAAAGCGGCUCACUGGGUCUCUUCUGACGCUGAGGCACGAAAGCUAGGGUAGCGAACGGG
Molecule: ribosomal RNA, 253 nt
Filed under: uncultured bacterium
Lineage: Bacteria
Description: partial 16S ribosomal RNA
Rfam family: Bacterial small subunit ribosomal RNA
Source: RNAcentral